AACGAACGCUGGCGGCAUGCCUAACACAUGCAAGUCGAACGAGACCUUCGGGUCUAGUGGCGCACGGGUGCGUAACGCGUGGGAAUCUGCCCUUGGGUUCGGAAUAACAGUUGGAAACGACUGCUAAUACCGGAUGAUGACGUAAGUCCAAAGAUUUAUCGCCCAAGGAUGAGCCCGCGUAGGAUUAGCUAGUUGGUGAGGUAAAGGCUCACCAAGGCGACGAUCCUUAGCUGGUCUGAGAGGAUGAUCAGCCACACUGGGACUGAGACACGGCCCAGACUCCUACGGGAGGCAGCAGUGGGGAAUAUUGGACAAUGGGCGAAAGCCUGAUCCAGCAAUGCCGCGUGAGUGAUGAAGGCCUUAGGGUUGUAAAGACUCUUUACCCGGGUAUGAUAAUGACAGUACCGGAGGAAUAAGCUCCGGCUAACUCCGUGCCAGCAGCCGCGGUAAAGUG
RNAcentral lists this ribosomal RNA (454 nucleotides) under uncultured bacterium. RNAcentral's name for it is "bacterial SSU rRNA". It matches the Rfam family "Bacterial small subunit ribosomal RNA", at positions 29 to 527 of the family's 1533-position model. The record is from RNAcentral.